Fopius arisanus is the source of this 881-nucleotide long non-coding RNA. RefSeq lists it as uncharacterized. The record is from RefSeq and is a predicted model, not a curated record. Lineage: Eukaryota; Metazoa; Arthropoda; Insecta; Hymenoptera; Braconidae. The transcript has 2 exons.
ACCAGUGCCCAAAUAACUCGCAAAUAAAUUCGCAAUUGAAUAAUCGAAUUCAAUCGAUCAAAAAUUAACCGACAGAAUUCAUAUUUAAUUAGUAAAGUAAAUAUUUCCUGUAUUAGCACCAGAGAUUACAGACUACUCCAUCAAAAAUUCCAUCGACAAUUCUCGCCAUAAAUUGAAGUAAACAUACUGAAGGACAUGGUGCAAUCUUUUUUAUGAAAAUUUCCAUCAGUUUUCGGAGCCAAAGCCAAAGAUUCCAAAGCAGAAUAGAAAAAGGUCUUGCAUAACCUCAAUAUUAAGGACAUUCCAACUGCUCCAACUGCUGCAACAAGCAUCUUCAGUUUUUAUCAGUGAGAAUGACCGUCAAGCUCACUUGAAAAGUUUUGUAAAUACGUUUGACCUCACGAGAGAUAAAAUAGAAAAGACAACGGAGUUAAUUCAUCACCUGACAAUCAGGUAAUCAGAAAAGGGAAUAAAAAUGUCUGAGUAAUUUGUGGGCUGCAUGGUGUCCAUAAAUUGCGUGGACGACCUGGGGAGUUAUUAGGAUCAGAUAUCAGAUUUAAAUGGUGAAACAGUGACGAUAUCGAUCUACCAUCCCAGGUGAUAAUAAAUGCGAAGAACAUCGAGAAUUCGGAGACAAUAUCAACAGGAAGGAAGCAACUGACCGAGAAGUUCAGUCGAGUAAAGUAACAAUUAAGAGUCCAAUAGUGAAAAGAGUCAGCAGAUCAGUAUUAGAGUGCAUUCCCACAUCAUUGCCAUCAGCCACUUAGUCCUCGAAAAAGUUUGGAGUACGUUUUUUCCAAGAUAAAUCCAAAGACCUCUCCUUGCUACAAGCCAGUGCAUAAUCAUGACGUAUUAAGUCUCACAGCAUCCGAGCGUUUAAU